Molecule: long non-coding RNA, 435 nt
Filed under: Gossypium raimondii (Peruvian cotton)
Lineage: Eukaryota; Viridiplantae; Streptophyta; Magnoliopsida; Malvales; Malvaceae
Description: long non-coding RNA (GRAI_LNC006644)
Source: RNAcentral
UAAAAAUCAUAGGUACACGCAUAUUUAUGAAAGUAAAAAAAAAAACUAAAAUGUAAUAAUAUAUAUGUAGAGGUAAAAAAAACUGCACGAAAUGUAUAUAUACAAGUACGUAUAUUACAUUGAAAUGCAUGUAUAUAUAAUUGUGCGUGCUUUUGAAAUAUAGAAAUAAGGAUAAAAAUAAUAAAGGGAGAAAAAAAAAUGGGCCAAACUGAAUUAAAACGAAAAAACGAAUUUAGAAAAAAUAAAUAAAAUAAAUAAAAUAAAAUCAGGACCAACUUAAAUGCGCGCAUAACAGUGGAGGACCAAAAGGGAAAUUAUCCCCUCCUUCCAAAACGCUGCGUAGCAAGGGACUAAAUUGAAACGGACAUCAAAUAUUCGGUCCAAUUUUAAAUAAGUAAAAAAAGGGUUUAAUUGGAGUGCGCUGCAAAAAGGAAG